Molecule: ribosomal RNA, 505 nt
Filed under: uncultured bacterium
Lineage: Bacteria
Description: partial 16S ribosomal RNA
Rfam family: Bacterial small subunit ribosomal RNA
Source: RNAcentral
GACGAACGCUGGCGGCGUGCCUAGUACAUGCAAGUAGAACGCACAGUUUAUACCGUAGCUUGCUACACCAUAGACUGUGAGUUGCGAACGGGUGAGUAACGCGUAGGUAACCUGCCUGGUAGCGGGGGAUAACUAUUGGAAACGAUAGCUAAUACCGCAUAAUAUUAAUUAUUGCAUGGUAAUUAAUUGAAAGGUGCAAUUGCACCACUACCAGAUGGACCUGCGUUGUAUUAGCUAGUAGGUGAGGUAACGGCUCACCUAGGCGACGAUACAUAGCCGACCUGAGAGGGUGAUCGGCCACACUGGGACUGAGACACGGCCCAGACUCCUACGGGAGGCAGCAGUAGGGAAUCUUCGGCAAUGGACGAAAGUCUGACCGAGCAACGCCGCGUGAGUGAAGAAGGUUUUCGGAUCGUAAAGCUCUGUUGUAAGAGAAGAACGGGUGUGAGAGUGGAAAGUUCACACUGUGACGGUAUCUUACCAGAAAGGGACGGCUAACUACGUG